AUUGAACGCCGGCGGCAGGCUUAACACAUGCAAGUCGAGCGGGGGAAGGUAGCUUGCUACCGGACCUAGCGGCGGACGGGUGAGUAAUGCUUAGGAAUCUGCCUAUUAGUGGGGGACAACAUCUCGAAAGGGAUGCUAAUACCGCAUACGUCCUACGGGAGAAAGCAGGGGAUCUUCGGACCUUACGCUAAUAGAUGAGCCUAAGUCGGAUUAGCUAGUUGGUGGGGUAAAGGCCUACCAAGGCGACGAUCUGUAGCGGGUCUGAGAGGAUGAUCCGCCACACUGGGACUGAGACACGGCCCAGACUCCUACGGGAGGCAGCAGUGGGGGAUAUUGGACAAUGGGGGGAACCCUGAUCCAGCCAUGCCGCGUGUGUGAAGAAGGCUUUAUGGUUGUAAAGCACUUUAAGCGAGGAGGAGGCUACUCUAGUUAAUACCUAGGGAUAGUGGACGUUACUCGCAGAAUAAGCACCGGCUAACUCUGUGCCAGCCGCCGCAGUAA
This 501-nucleotide ribosomal RNA is filed under the name uncultured bacterium. RNAcentral describes it as "partial 16S ribosomal RNA". It matches the Rfam family "Bacterial small subunit ribosomal RNA", at positions 30 to 523 of the family's 1533-position model. The record is from RNAcentral.